Molecule: non-coding RNA, 550 nt
Organism: Sus scrofa (pig)
Lineage: Eukaryota; Metazoa; Chordata; Mammalia; Artiodactyla; Suidae
Source: RefSeq, a predicted model, not a curated record
GUCAGGGUGACAGAGGGUGUGGGAGGGACAAGGCAGGAGGCAGGGCCAGCACUCCUUGACUAAGGAAGCCCCGGCGAGGCCCCAGAGGCCUGCAGUGAAUGGCCAGGUGGCGGCUCCGUGUGGGGCUGAGCCACCGUUACCAAGGACGACCACAAACAAACAGGGCUGGCCCGCCACACCUGGCUAGUGGCGCCUGCUGCCUGCUGGUAUCAGCAACCUGUCCCGAAGCCGGCAGGUAACUCCACCCACAGGUGAGCCCCCAGCUGGGCAUCCAGCCGGCCUGAGCAGAUCCAACUCACGCCAGGACCUUGGAAGGAUGGGUCACCGCAACAGCAACAGCCAACAAGUCUCAAAAUGCACUAAAUAGAGACACACAGGCACCAAAAGUAACUCCAUCUGCCAUCACGUUGGUGCAAAAUGGGCAAACCUGGCAGUGAUUCUUCUUUUUGAGGGGGCCGGUGCUGUGCCUGCGGCAUGUGGAAAUUCCAGGGCUAGAGAUCAAACCCCACACCACAGCAGCAACCCGGGCCACUGCAGCGACAACACCGGA